RNAcentral lists this ribosomal RNA (492 nucleotides) under uncultured bacterium. RNAcentral describes it as "partial 16S ribosomal RNA". It matches the Rfam family "Bacterial small subunit ribosomal RNA", at positions 29 to 507 of the family's 1533-position model. The record is from RNAcentral.
AGUGAACGCUGGCGGUAGGCCUAACACAUGCAAGUCGAACGGCAGCACAGUAAGAGCUUGCUCUUACGGGUGGCGAGUGGCGGACGGGUGAGGAAUACAUCGUAAUCUACUUUUUCGUGGGGGAUCACGUAGGGAAACUUACGCUAAUACCGCAUACGACCUACGGGUGAAAGCAGGGGAUCUUCGGACCUUGCGCGAUUGAAUGAGCCGAUGUCGGAUUAGCUAGUUGGCGGGGUAAAGGCCCACCAAGGCGACGAUCCGUAGCUGGUCUGAGAGGAUGAUCGGCCACAGUGGAACUGGGACACGGUCCAGACUCCUACGGGAGGCAGCAGUGGCGAAUGUUGGACAAUGGGCGCGAGCCUGGUCCAGCCAUACCGCGUGGGUGAAGAAGGCCUUCGGGUUGGAAAGCCCUUUUGUUGGGAAAGAAAAGCAGCAGGUUAAUACCCCGCGGUUCUGACGGUACCCAAAGAAUAAGCACCGGCUAACUUCGUG